GUUCGGGUUUGGCGUGGCCUUCCAGGGCACGAACCUGAUGUGGUCGUUCUUCGGCGUGCUGGUCGGCAACCUGAUCG
This 77-nucleotide transfer RNA is filed under the name Cupriavidus pampae. RNAcentral's name for it is "tRNA-Ile". The record is from RNAcentral. Lineage: Bacteria; Pseudomonadati; Pseudomonadota; Betaproteobacteria; Burkholderiales; Burkholderiaceae.